UAGUAAAAUUACACAUGCAAGUAUCCGCACUCCAGUGAGAAUGCCCUUUAAAUCGAUUAAAAGGAGCAGGUAUCAAGCGCACUAGUAGCUCAUAACACCUUGCUCAACCACACCCCCACGGGAGACAGCAGUGACAAAAAUUAAGCAAUAAACGAAAGUUUGACUAAGUUAUACUAAGAGCCGGUAAAUUUCGUGCCAGCCACCGCGGCCAUACGAUUGACUCAGAUUAAUAGAACCUCGGCGUAAAGCGUGUCAAAGAUAAAGUUAAAAGUCUAGUUAAGCUGUAAAAAGCUAUAACCAAAAUAAAAUAGACCACGAAAGUGACUUUAACAUAUCACCCACACUACAGCUAAGACCCAAACUGGGAUUAGAUACCCCACUAUGCUUAGCCUCAAACCCAAAUAAUUACAAAAUUAUUCGCCAGAGUACUACUAGCAACAGCCUAAAACUCAAAGGACUUGGCGGUGCUUUAUAUCCCCCUAGAGGAGCCUGUUCCAUAACCGAUAAACCCCGAUAAACCUUACCAACUCUUGCUAAUUCAGCCUAUAUACCGCCAUCUUCAGCGAACCCUAAAAAGGAACCAAAGUAAGCACAAGUAUAAGACAUAAAAACGUUAGGUCAAGGUGUAGCUUAUGGGUUGGAGAGAAAUGGGCUACAUUUUCUACUUUAAGAAACGAAAGCUUUUAUGAAAUCAAAAGCUAAAGGAGGAUUUAGCAGUAAAUUAAGAAUAGAGAGCUUAAUUGAACCAGGCCAUAAAGCACGCACACACCGCCCGUCACCCUCCUUAAAUA
This 791-nucleotide non-coding RNA is filed under the name Rhinoceros sondaicus sondaicus. The record is from RNAcentral. Lineage: Eukaryota; Metazoa; Chordata; Mammalia; Perissodactyla; Rhinocerotidae.